GGAACACCUCUCCUGGAGAAGGAGACCAGGGGGGAAAGGAAGCGGGGGUAUCUGCAUUCUGGCUCUCUCUCUCUCUCAUGGAGUCAGAGGAAGACGUCCAGUGCUUCUACCUCCCACCUCCCGCCAUCCCAACGCCGGGAGCCACAUUCUCUGCCCUAAGACACUGCACUGCUGCCUUCCCCGCUUCAGCCUGCUACCUCCGAGCACGCAGCCAGGCGCCGCCACCCAUACAAAGGAAAACCAAUAGGGAGAUUAAUUUAGCAGCCAGAAGUGACAGAGCAGUCAGUAGCAACAAUCAGCCAUUGACUUCUCAACUUCUUCAGGGACUUUGCUGCUCAGUCAGCUUCAGACUUGUCAGGCUGCAUUUUCAUCCUGUGAGCGCACUGACAGGAGGAAGGCUUGUCCUGGCAUCAUCUCUCCUGCUGGCCAGUAGGGCUGGUUCUAAGGCUGCAAAGGGUCUGGGUACGGCCAUACCACUUCCCAGCACCAAACCAUGUGGCCUCAAAUGCCUUGCAGCUGAUGCCAGUGGAUUUUGAAAUAAAACUCAUGGAAAGGGUGGAUGGCAGUUGAUCCCACACCCUUCGGGAUGCUGGGCAGAGCAGGCCUGAAGAUAAAUGAAGAAGCAAUCCACAGAUCACCAUCUCCUUUCAUCUUACCAAGACAAUUCCUGUGUAAGCAUACCAACAUCCCAGACUUCCGUGCAGGCUUUAUCCACACGAACACACAUACAUACGUGUUCUUUCAGCUGAGUCUGGACUUGCCGUGCUUGCCUGUACUUGUGUGUCUUCCUCAUGC
RNAcentral lists this long non-coding RNA (795 nucleotides) under Ficedula albicollis (Collared flycatcher). RNAcentral describes it as "lncRNA (ENSFALG00000028641.1)". Lineage: Eukaryota; Metazoa; Chordata; Aves; Passeriformes; Muscicapidae. The record is from RNAcentral.